RNAcentral lists this ribosomal RNA (536 nucleotides) under Alloglossidium geminum. RNAcentral describes it as "eukaryotic LSU rRNA". The stretch from base 309 to 536 matches the Rfam family "Eukaryotic large subunit ribosomal RNA", at positions 1 to 207 of the family's 3401-position model. Lineage: Eukaryota; Metazoa; Platyhelminthes; Trematoda; Plagiorchiida; Alloglossidiidae. The record is from RNAcentral.
UCUUGAACGCACAUUGCGGCCAUGGGCUAGCUCAUGGCCACGCCUGUCCGAGGGUCGGCUUAUAAACUAUCACGACGCCCAAAAAGUCGUGGCUUGGGUCUUGCCAGCUGACGUGAUUUCCCUAUUUGUGCAAACGAACGGGGUGUCAGAUCUAUGGCGUUUCCCUAAUAAUUCCAGUUACAACUCCUUUUGGCUGAAGGCCAUAUUGGAGGGUGAUUGUGGAGUCGUGGCUCAAUGGUAAUGUUUGUGCGCGCUCUGCAUGUUCACCGCUGUAUCUGUCUAAUGUGAAAUGCUUUUCGCAUUUUACCUGACCUCGGAUCAGACGUGAAUACCCGCUGAACUUAAGCAUAUCACUAAGCGGAGGAAAAGAAACUAACAAGGAUUCCCUCAGUAACGGCGAGUGAACAGGGAAAAGCCCAGCACCGAAGCCUGUGGCCAUUUGGUCAUUAGGCAAUGUGGUGUUUAGGUCGUUCCGCAGAGGUUCUGCUCCACCCUAAGUCCAUCAAUGAGUACGGUAGUAUGGACAUGGCCCAUUG